This 3003-nucleotide ribosomal RNA is filed under the name Salmonella enterica subsp. enterica serovar Infantis. Its description in RNAcentral is "23S ribosomal RNA". It matches the Rfam family "Bacterial large subunit ribosomal RNA". The record is from RNAcentral. Lineage: Bacteria; Pseudomonadati; Pseudomonadota; Gammaproteobacteria; Enterobacterales; Enterobacteriaceae.
GGUUAAGCGACUAAGCGUACACGGUGGAUGCCCUGGCAGUCAGAGGCGAUGAAGGGCGUGCUAAUCUGCGAUAAGCGCCGGUAAGGUGAUAUGAACCGUUAUAACCGGCGAUACCCGAAUGGGGAAACCCAGUGUGAUUCGUCACACUAUCAUUAACUGAAUCCAUAGGUUAAUGAGGCGAACCGGGGAACUGAAACAUCUAAGUACCCCGAGGAAAAGAAAUCAACCGAGAUUCCCCCAGUAGCGGCGAGCGAACGGGGAGGAGCCCAGAGCCUGAAUCAGCAUGUGUGUUAGUGGAAGCGUCUGGAAAGGCGCGCGAUACAGGGUGACAGCCCCGUACACAAAAGCGCAUGUGCUGUGAGCUCGAUGAGUAGGGCGGGACACGUGGUAUCCUGUCUGAAUAUGGGAGAUCAUCCUCCAAGGCUAAAUACUCCUGACUGACCGAUAGUGAACCAGUACCGUGAGGGAAAGGCGAAAAGAACCCCGGCGAGGGGAGUGAAAAAGAACCUGAAACCGUGUACGUACAAGCAGUGGGAGCCCCACCACCAAAGCAUUCUCUGGUGUUGAAGGCCCUGCAAAGCAGCAUCGCGGUGGCGGAGCGUCGUUUGCGACGCCCAACACACAAAACAAGCGGUGAGUGCUUUGGGGUGGGGUGACUGCGUACCUUUUGUAUAAUGGGUCAGCGACUUAUAUUCUGUAGCAAGGUUAACCGAAUAGGGAGCCGGAGGGAAACCGAGUCUUAAUUGGGCGUUAAGUUGCAGGGUAUAGACCCGAAACCCGGUGAUCUCAGCCAUGGGCAGGUUGAAGGUUGGGUAACACUAACUGGAUGAAUCGAACCGACUAAUGUUGAAAAAUUAGCGGAUGACCUGUGGCUGGGGGUGAAAGGCCAAUCAAACCGGGAGAUAGCUGGUUCUCCCCGAAAGCUAUUUAGGUAGCGCCUCGUGAAUUCAUCUCCGGGGUAGAGCACUGUUUCGGCUAGGGGGCCAUCCCGGCUUACCAACCCGAUGCAAACUGCGAAUACCGGAGAAUGUUAUCACGGGAGACACACGGCGGGUGCUAACGUCCGUCGUGAAGAGGGAAACAACCCAGACCGCCAGCUAAGAUCCCAAAGUCAUGGUUAAGUGGGAAACGAUGUGGGAAGGCCCAGACAGCCAGGAUGUUGGCUUAGAAGCAGCCAUCAUUUAAAGAAAGCGUAAUAGCUCACUGGUCGAGUCGGCCUGCGCGGAAGAUGUAACGGGGCUAAACCAUGCACCGAAGCUGCGGCAGCGACACUCAGGUGUUGUUGGGUAGGGGAGCGUUCUGUAAGCCUGCGAAGGUGGCCUGUGAGGGUUGCUGGAGGUAUCAGAAGUGCGAAUGCUGACAUAAGUAACGAUAAAGCGGGUGAAAAGCCCGCUCGCCGGAAGACCAAGGGUUCCUGUCCAACGUUAAUCGGGGCAGGGUGAGUCGACCCCUAAGGCGAGGCCGAAAGGCGUAGUCGAUGGGAAACGGGUUAAUAUUCCCGUACUUGGUGUUACUGCGAAGGGGGACGGAGAAGGCUAUGUUGGCCGGGCGACGGUUGUCCCGGUUUAAGCGUGUAGGUGUGUGUUCCGGUAAAUCCGGUUCACUUUAACACUGAGGCGUGAUGACGAGGCACUACGGUGCUGAAGCAACAAAUGCCCUGCUUCCGUGAAAAGCCUCUAAGCAUCAGGUAACAUCAAAUCGUACCCCAAACCGACACAGGUGGUCAGGUAGAGAAUACCAAGGCGCUUGAGAGAACUCGGGUGAAGGAACUAGGCAAAAUGGUGCCGUAACUUCGGGAGAAGGCACGCUGACACGUAGGUGAAGUGAUUUACUCAUGGAGCUGAAGUCAGUCGAAGAUACCAGCUGGCUGCAACUGUUUAUUAAAAACACAGCACUGUGCAAACACGAAAGUGGACGUAUACGGUGUGACGCCUGCCCGGUGCCGGAAGGUUAAUUGAUGGGGUCAGCGCAAGCGAAGCUCCUGAUCGAAGCCCCGGUAAACGGCGGCCGUAACUAUAACUAUCCUAAGGUAGCGAAAUUCCUUGUCGGGUAAGUUCCGACCUGCACGAAUGGCGUAAUGAUGGCCGGGCUGUCUCCACCCGAGACUCAGUGAAAUUGAACUCGCUGUGAAGAUGCAGUGUACCCGCGGCAAGACGGAAAGACCCCGUGAACCUUUACUAUAGCUUGACACUGAACAUUGAGCCUUGAUGUGUAGGAUAGGUGGGAGGCUUUGAAGUGUGGACGCCAGUCUGCAUGGAGCCGACCUUGAAAUACCACCCUUUAAUGUUUGAUGUUCUAACGUGACCCGUAAUCCGGGUUGCGGACAGUGUCUGGUGGGUAGUUUGACUGGGGCGGUCUCCUCCUAAAGAGUAACGGAGGAGCACGAAGGUUGGCUAAUCCUGGUCGGACAUCAGGAGGUUAGUGCAAUGGCAUAAGCCAGCUUGACUGCGAGCGUGACGGCGCGAGCAGGUGCGAAAGCAGGUCAUAGUGAUCCGGUGGUUCUGAAUGGAAGGGCCAUCGCUCAACGGAUAAAAGGUACUCCGGGGAUAACAGGCUGAUACCGCCCAAGAGUUCAUAUCGACGGCGGUGUUUGGCACCUCGAUGUCGGCUCAUCACAUCCUGGGGCUGAAGUAGGUCCCCAAGGGUAUGGCUGUUCGCCAUUUAAAGUGGUACGCGAGCUGGGUUUAGAACGUCGUGAGACAGUUCGGUCCCUAUCUGCCGUGGGCGCUGGAGAACUGAGGGGGCUGCUCCUAGUACGAGAGGACCGGAGUGGACGCAUCACUGGUGUUCGGGUUGUCAUGCCAAUGGCACUGCCCGGUAGCUAAAUGCGGAAGAGAUAAGUGCUGAAAGCAUCUAAGCACGAAACUUGCCCCGAGAUGAGUUCUCCCUGAGACUUUAAGUCUCCUGAAGGAACGUUGAAGACGACGACGUUGAUAGGCCGGGUGUGUAAGCGCAGCGAUGCGUUGAGCUAACCGGUACUAAUGAACCGUGAGGCUUAACCUU